This is a non-coding RNA of Vicugna pacos (alpaca), 678 nucleotides long. Lineage: Eukaryota; Metazoa; Chordata; Mammalia; Artiodactyla; Camelidae. The record is from the annotation of a RefSeq genome assembly.
CGUUCUGCCCCUGGGAUGGGCAGGGCAGGCACGGGGACCCCUGCAGAGCAGCCACCAGCCUGGGGCAGUGGCCCGACUUCCUCCAUCUCAGCUGCAGGUGGGGGGCUGGGGGUGGGGCAGGGGCGUCCCAGGGAGGGGUUUUUGUUCAAGCCUGUGUCACUGUGUGCUGUGUUCGGCGGAGGGACCCAUCUGACCGUCCUGGGUCAGCCCAAGGCCGCACCCUCGGUCACUCUGUUCCCGCCGUCCUCUGAGGAGCUCACCGCCAACAAGGCCACCCUGGUGUGUCUGAUCAGUGACUUCUACCCGGGCAGCGUGACGGUGGCCUGGAAGCAAGAUGGCACCACCGUCACGCAGGGCGUGGAGACCACCAAGCCCUCGAAGCAGAGCAACAACAAGUACGCGGCCAGCAGCUACCUGAGCCUGUCGCCCAGCACGUGGAAGUCGCACAGCAGCUACAGCUGUCAGGUCACGCACGAGGCGGGCACCGUGGAGAAGACGGUGUCCCCCUCCCAGUGUUAGGCCCCCGGGCCCCCACCCUCGGGGGCUUCCUCACCCAGACCCCCCUCCCCACUCUCCAUGGACCCCUGAGCCUCUGCCCAGGUCAGCUCAGACCAGGCGGGUCUCAUCCCGCCCUGUUCCUGCUCCUCCUUAAUAAAGACCUUGUCAUUUAUCAUCUGA